GACGAACGCUGGCGGCGUGCUUAACACAUGCCAGUCGAACGGAAAGGCCCUGCUUGCAGGGUACUCGAGUGGCGAACGGGUGAGUAACACGUGGGUGAUCUGCCCUGCACUUCGGGAUAAGCCUGGGAAACUGGGUCUAAUACCGGAUAGGAGCCAUUUUUAGUGUGAUGGUUGAAAAGUUUUUUCGGUGUAGGAUGAGCUCGCGGCCUAUCAGCUUGUUGGUGGGGUAAUGGCCUACCAAGGCGGCGACGGGUAGCCGGCCUGAGAGGGUGGACGGCCACAUUGGGACUGAGAUACGGCCCAGACUCCUACGGGAGGCAGCAGUGGGGAAUAUUGCACAAUGGGCGCAAGCCUGAUGCAGCGACGCCGCGUGGGGGAUGACGGCCUUCGGGUUGUAAACUCCUUUCGCUAGGGACGAAGCUUUUUGUGACGGUACCUAGAUAAGAAGCACCGGCUAACUACGUG
This 465-nucleotide ribosomal RNA is filed under the name uncultured bacterium. RNAcentral describes it as "partial 16S ribosomal RNA". It matches the Rfam family "Bacterial small subunit ribosomal RNA", at positions 28 to 507 of the family's 1533-position model. The record is from RNAcentral.